UAUUAUACUUGUGAAUCUAGGAUUGUGAUUUCAGCAAACCUCAUCAAAGAAACCAUCAUCUACAACCAUUUCUGAAAUUUAAAAGCAGCAAAACAUCUGUUCCCCCAAGCAACUUAUCUGACACAGUGAGAAGACGGCCAUCUACAAGCCACAGAGUCCUUACUGGGAAAUGAGCAGGACCAGCACCUUGAUGGGAGGACUUCCUGUCCUCUAGAACUUUGAGAAAUAAAUCUCUGUUGGCUAAGCCACCCAA
Herpailurus yagouaroundi (jaguarundi) is the source of this 253-nucleotide long non-coding RNA. RefSeq lists it as uncharacterized. NCBI's taxonomy places the organism in Eukaryota, Metazoa, Chordata, Mammalia, Carnivora, Felidae. The record is from RefSeq and is a predicted model, not a curated record. The transcript is spliced from 2 exons.